GACGAAGGGCUCAGGUGUUAUUCAUGUUGAUUGGGUGUAAAGGGUACGUAGACGGUUCUUAGUUCUUUGGCAAAAAAAGCGGAGUGUUCCUACGCGAUCUGCCUUUGAAGAAGAGGACUUGAGUUGGGGAAAGGUUUGGGCAAUUUUGUGUGUAGGGGUUAAAUCCUAGUAUAUACGAACGAACGUCAGAGGCGAAGGCUCCUUUCUUGUUCUAACUGACGUUAAGGUACGGAGGCUCGGGGUGCAAACAGG
Molecule: ribosomal RNA, 252 nt
Filed under: uncultured bacterium
Lineage: Bacteria
Description: partial 16S ribosomal RNA
Rfam family: Bacterial small subunit ribosomal RNA
Source: RNAcentral